RNAcentral lists this transfer RNA (77 nucleotides) under Desulfobacteraceae bacterium. RNAcentral describes it as "tRNA-Arg". It matches the Rfam family "tRNA". From Rfam's summary of the family: Transfer RNA (tRNA) molecules are approximately 80 nucleotides in length. The record is from RNAcentral. Lineage: Bacteria; Pseudomonadati; Thermodesulfobacteriota; Desulfobacteria; Desulfobacterales; Desulfobacteraceae.
GCGCCCGUAGCUCAGCCGGAUAGAGCACCGGCCUUCUAAGCCGUAGGUCGCAGGUUCGAAUCCUGCCGGGCGCGCCA